Molecule: microRNA precursor, 87 nt
Filed under: Apis mellifera (honey bee)
Lineage: Eukaryota; Metazoa; Arthropoda; Insecta; Hymenoptera; Apidae
Source: RNAcentral
AUAUAUUCUAAUCGUUGGACGGGUGCACUCUGGUAUCAUGUGGAUUUGCUCAUGACUAGAGUCACACUCGUCCAUUGCUUGGAAUAC